UGGGGGAUAUUGCACAAUGGGCGAAAGCCUGAUGCAGCGACGCCGCGUGGGGGAUGAAGGCCUUCGGGUUGUAAACUUCUUUUGCUCUGAACAAGGCGCACCAUGGGGUGAGUUGAGUGUAGGGGUUGAUUAGCGCCGGCUAACUACGUGCCAGCAGCCGCGGUAAUACGUAGGGCGCGAGCGUUGUCCGGAAUUAUUGGGCGUAAAGGGCUUGUAGGUGGCUGGUUGCGUCUGUCGUGAAAGCUCAUGGCUUAACUGUGGGUUUGCGGUGGGUACGGGCUGGCUUGAGUGCAGUAGGGGAGGCUGGAAUUCCUGGUGUAGCGGUGGAAUGCGCAGAUAUCAGGAGGAAUACCGGUGGCGAAGGCGGGUCUCUGGGCUGUUACUGACACUGAGGAGCGAAAGCAUGGGGAGCGAACAGG
Molecule: ribosomal RNA, 419 nt
Filed under: bacterium
Lineage: Bacteria
Description: partial 16S ribosomal RNA
Rfam family: Bacterial small subunit ribosomal RNA
Source: RNAcentral